This 393-nucleotide ribosomal RNA is filed under the name uncultured organism. Its description in RNAcentral is "bacterial SSU rRNA". It matches the Rfam family "Bacterial small subunit ribosomal RNA", at positions 45 to 433 of the family's 1533-position model. The record is from RNAcentral.
UGCCUAACACAUGCAAGUCGAACGGCAACACGGUCUAGCUUGCUAGAUUGGUGGCGAGUGGCGGACGGGUGAGUAACGCGUAGGAAUAUACCUUAAAGAGGGGGACAACUUGGGGAAACUCAAGCUAAUACCGCAUAAGCUCUUAGGAGGGAAGCUGGGGACCUUAGGGCCUGGCGCUUUAAGGAUAGCCUGCGUACGAUUAGCUAGUUGGUAGGGUAAGGGCCUACCAAGGCGACGAUCGUUAGCUGGUCUGAGAGGAUGGCCAGCCACACUGGAACUGAGACACGGUCCAGACUCCUACGGGAGGCAGCAGUGGGGAAUAUUGGACAAUGGGGGGAACCCUGAUCCUGCAAUGCCGCGUGUGUGAAGAAGGCCUGAGGGUUGUAUUAUCGC